Molecule: ribosomal RNA, 630 nt
Filed under: Gemmatimonadales bacterium
Lineage: Bacteria; Pseudomonadati; Gemmatimonadota; Gemmatimonadia; Gemmatimonadales
Description: bacterial SSU rRNA
Rfam family: Bacterial small subunit ribosomal RNA
Source: RNAcentral
AAUGGAGAGUUUGAUCCUGGCUCAGGACGAACGCUGGCGGCGUGCCUAACACAUGCAAGUCGAACGAGGGCCCAGAGCUUGCUCUGGUGACUCGAGUGGCGAACGGGUGAGUAACACGUGACCAACCUAUCCUAGGGCGGGGGACAACCCGGAGAAAUCUGGGCUAAUACCGCAUGAUGUUGUUCCUUCGCAUGUUGGAACAAUCAAAGAGGGCCUCUGCUUGCAAGCUCUUGCCCAGGGAGGGGGUCGCGACGUAUCAGUUUGUUGGUGGGGUAAUGGCCUACCAAGACUACGACGCGUAGCGGAUCUGAGAGGAUGAUCCGUCACAUUGGGACUGAGAUACGGCCCAGACUCCUACGGGAGGCAGCAGUGGGGAAUAUUGCGCAAUGGACGAAAGUCUGACGCAGCGACGCCGCGUGUGGGAGGAAGCCUUUCGGGGUGUAAACCACUGUCAGGGGGGAAGAAAACUGCCGGUUCGAACAGGUCCGGCAAUUGACGGUACCCCCAGAGGAAGCACCGGCUAACUCCGUGCCAGCAGCCGCGGUAAGACGGAGGGUGCAAGCGUUGUUCGGAAUUACUGGGCGUAAAGCGCAGGCAGGCGGUUCGUUAAGUCGUUUGUGAAAACCCGGG